CGGCGGCCGUGAGCAGAACGGCUCGUGUCCAAACACGCCUGGAGACGCGAAGGAGCGUGCUCUUCCGGCUCAUGUGAGAACAGACCUCACCUCUGCUAAAAGCAUGCUGAAUCCACAUUGACUGGAUGGCAGGAACCGCGUCAAGAGAAACAGAUCAAGUUGGAAGUCAAAGUGAACAUAGCUGCGGUAUGUUCUGACAAGACU
Molecule: long non-coding RNA, 204 nt
Filed under: Anas platyrhynchos platyrhynchos (common mallard)
Lineage: Eukaryota; Metazoa; Chordata; Aves; Anseriformes; Anatidae
Description: lncRNA (ENSAPLG00000019120.1)
Source: RNAcentral